This 1288-nucleotide ribosomal RNA is filed under the name marine metagenome. RNAcentral's name for it is "eukaryotic LSU rRNA". It matches the Rfam family "Eukaryotic large subunit ribosomal RNA", at positions 1255 to 2587 of the family's 3401-position model. The record is from RNAcentral.
UGGAAGUCGAAAUCCGCUAAGGAGUGUGUAACAACUCACCUGCCGAAGUCAGCAGCCCUGAAAAUGGAUGGCGCUCAAACGUACUUCCGAAACUCAACCGUCAAAGUAAAUGCGAAGCUUUGGCGAGUAGGAGGGCGUGGUGAUUGCACCGAAGCUGUGGGCGUAAGCUCCAGUCGAGCAGUCACUAGUGCAGAUCUUGGUGUUAGUAGCAAAUAUUCAAAUGAAAUCUUUGAAGACCGAAGUGGAGAAAGGUUUCACGUGAAGUUUAUUGCGACGUGAGUGAACCGGCCCUAAGGUACUCCGUAUGGGAAUGAAAGGGCGCAAUUUAUUGCGCCGUCAGCCAAAAGGGAAACCGCUUAAGAUUUCGGUGUCGGCACACGGUAUUAGGCGGUAACGCAUUUGAACCAGGUGACAGUGGCCGAGGCUCCAGAAAGAGUUUUCUUUUCUUUUUAACAUUACCACAGUCCCUGAAAUCGGAUUAACCGGAGAAGGGGAGUGUGGUGUGGCAAAGCAAUUGACCUUUUCAAUUGUCUGGUGCGCUUCGGACGCUCCUUGAAAAGCCUGGGGAGUGUUUAUACUUCGUGCUGUCCGUACUCAUAACCGCAUCAGGUCUCCAAGGUUAACAGCCUCUGGUCGAUAGAACAAUGUAGGUAAGGGAAGUCGGCAAAUUAGGUCCGUAACUUCGGGAAAAGGACUGGCUCUUAGGGCUGGGCGUCUGAGGCUCUGUCGCAAAACCCAAUUGAUGAGGGGCACUGGCUAGCUCUCACGGGCCGGCUGGAGCCUCCUCGUCGAGCGGGCGGCGCGUCGAGUUCCGUAAGGUAUCUCUGCGUAUUGAACAGCCAACUGAGAACUGGCGCGGACAAGGGGAAUCCGACUGUUUAAUUAAAACAAAGCAUUGCGACGGUUGGAAACAAUGUUGACGCAAUGUGAUUUCUGCCCAGUGCUCUGAAUGUCAAUGUGAUGUAAUUCAAUCAAGCGCGGGUAAACGGCGGGAGUAACUAUGACUCUCUUAAGGUAGCCAAAUGCCUCGUCAUCUGAUUAGUGACGCGCAUGAAUGGAUCAACGAGAUUCCCACUGUCCCUACUUACUAUCUAGCGAAACCACAGCCAAGGGAACGGGCUUGGGCGUAACGGCGGGGAAAGAAAACCCUGUUGAGCUUGACCCUAGUCUGCUGGCUCCUAUACACAUCUGACGCUGCCCACGAAGGCCUAGGUGUGUAACUCGGCGGUCGCCGGCCUAUUAAAAAACAAAACAGAAAGUAGCUAUCAUAGCACGCACCGCCGCGGUU